AUUGAACGCUGGCGGCAGGCCUAACACAUGCAAGUCGAGCGGAUGAAGGGAGCUUGCUCCUGGAUUCAGCGGCGGACGGGUGAGUAAUGCCUAGGAAUCUGCCUGGUAGUGGGGGAUAACGUCCGGAAACGGGCGCUAAUACCGCAUACGUCCUGAGGGAGAAAGUGGGGGAUCUUCGGACCUCACGCUAUCAGAUGAGCCUAGGUCGGAUUAGCUAGUUGGUGGGGUAAAGGCCUACCAAGGCGACGAUCCGUAACUGGUCUGAGAGGCUGAUCAGUCACACUGGAACUGAGACACGGUCCAGACUCCUACGGGAGGCAGCAGUGGGGAAUAUUGGGCAAUGGGCGAAAGCCUGAUGCAGCCAUGCCGCGUGAGUGAAGAAGGUCUUCGGAUUGUAAAGCACUUUAAGUUGGGAGGAAGGGCAGUAAGUUAAUACCUUGCUGUUUUGACGUUACCAACAGAAUAAGCACCGGCUAACUUCGUG
This 484-nucleotide ribosomal RNA is filed under the name uncultured bacterium. RNAcentral describes it as "partial 16S ribosomal RNA". It matches the Rfam family "Bacterial small subunit ribosomal RNA", at positions 30 to 507 of the family's 1533-position model. The record is from RNAcentral.